Molecule: long non-coding RNA, 278 nt
Filed under: Lathyrus oleraceus (garden pea)
Lineage: Eukaryota; Viridiplantae; Streptophyta; Magnoliopsida; Fabales; Fabaceae
Description: Pisum sativum (pea) long non-coding RNA (PSAT_LNC029706)
Source: RNAcentral
AGCAGUCUUGUAUAUGUAACUGGGUUGUUUAGCCUCAUCGAUGGUGUUGUAGGUGUAACUUGGUUGUUCUGUCUCGUUGGCGGUCUUGUAGAUGUAAUUGGGUUGUUUGGCCUCAUCGGCGGUCUUGUAGAUGUAACUGGGUUGUUUGGCCUCAUCAGCGGUCUUGUAGAUGUAACUGGGUUGUUUGGGCUCAUCGAUGGUCUUGUAGGUGUAACUUGGUUGUUCUAUCUCGUUAGCGGUCUUGUAGAUGUAACUGGGUUGUUUGGCCUCAUCGGNNN